GAUGAACGCUGGCGGCGUGCCUAAUACAUGCAAGUCGAGCGAACAGAUGAGGAGCUUGCUCCUCUGACGUUAGCGGCGGACGGGUGAGUAACACGUGGAUAACCUACCUAUAAGACUGGGAUAACUUCGGGAAACCGGAGCUAAUACCGGAUAAUAUAUUGAACGGCAUGUUUCAUUAUGAAAAGCCGUUUUUGCUGUCCCUUAUAGAGGGUUCCGCGCCGCAUUAGCUAGUUGGUAAGGUAACGGCUUACCAAGGCAACGAUGCGUAGCCGACCUGAGAGGGUGAUCGGCCACACUGGAACUGAGACACGGUCCAGACUCCUACGGGAGGCAGCAGUAGGGAAUCUUCCGCAAUGGGCGAAAGCCUGACGGAGCAACGCCGCGUGAGUGAUGAAGGUCUUCGGAUCGUAAAACUCUGUUAUUAGGGAAGAACAAAUGUGUAAGUAACUAUGCACGUCUUGACGGUACCUAAUCAGAAAGCCACGGCUAACUACGUG
Molecule: ribosomal RNA, 497 nt
Filed under: uncultured bacterium
Lineage: Bacteria
Description: partial 16S ribosomal RNA
Rfam family: Bacterial small subunit ribosomal RNA
Source: RNAcentral